GAUGAAGAACGCAGCGAAAUGCGAUAAGUAAUGUGAAUUGCAGAAUUCAGUGAAUCAUCGAAUCUUUGAACGCACAUUGCGCCCGCCAGUAUUCUGGCGGGCAUGCCUGUUCGAGCGUCAUUUCAACCAUCAAGCCCCCGGCUUGUGUUGGGGACCUGCGGCUGCCGCAGGCCCUGAAAACCAGUGGCGGGCUCGCCGUAGCACCGAGCGUAGUAGCACACUUCUCGCUCCGGUAGCAGCGGCGGGCGCUUGCCGUAAAAACCCCCCCUAAAAUCUCAAGGUUGACCUCGGAUCAGGUAGGAAUACCCGCUGAACUUAAGCAUAUCAAUAAGCGGAGGA
This 339-nucleotide unclassified non-coding RNA is filed under the name soil metagenome. Its description in RNAcentral is "partial contains 5.8S ribosomal RNA, internal transcribed spacer 2, and large subunit ribosomal RNA". The stretch from base 1 to 120 matches the Rfam family "5.8S ribosomal RNA", at positions 35 to 154 of the family's 154-position model. The record is from RNAcentral.